RNAcentral lists this Y RNA (89 nucleotides) under Zalophus californianus (California sea lion). RNAcentral describes it as "Y RNA (ENSZCAG00015014960.1)". It matches the Rfam family "Y RNA". From Rfam's summary of the family: Y RNAs are components of the Ro ribonucleoprotein particle (Ro RNP), in association with Ro60 and La proteins. The Y RNAs and Ro60 and La proteins are well conserved, but the function of the Ro RNP is not known. Lineage: Eukaryota; Metazoa; Chordata; Mammalia; Carnivora; Otariidae. The record is from RNAcentral.
UGCUGGUCCGAUGGUAGUGGGUUCUCAGAACUUGUUAACACUAAAGUUGGUAUACGACACCCCCCACAGCUAAAUUUGACUGGCCCUAA